GAAAUGCGAUAAGUAAUGUGAAUUGCAGAAUUCAGUGAAUCAUCGAAUCUUUGAACGCACAUUGCACCCGCCAGUAUUCUGGCGGGCAUGCCUGUUCGAGCGUCAUUUCAACCAUCAAGCCCCGCGCUUGUGUUGGGGACCUGCGGCUGCCGCAGGCCCUGAAAACCAGUGGCGGGCUCGCUGUCACACCGGGCGUAGUAGAUUUUAUCUCGCUCAGGGCGUGCUGCGGGUUCCGGCCGUUAAAAAGCCUUUUUUACCCAAGGUUGACCUCGGAUCAGGUAGGAAGACCCGCUGAACUUAAGC
Molecule: unclassified non-coding RNA, 303 nt
Filed under: plant metagenome
Description: partial contains 5.8S ribosomal RNA, internal transcribed spacer 2, and large subunit ribosomal RNA
Rfam family: 5.8S ribosomal RNA (bases 1-105)
Source: RNAcentral